AACCCUCUCAUUCUCUCCCUCUCGCUUUCUGCGUGCGAGCUCUCGACUUCUCUUCAAGCAUUGCCUUGAUCGAUCGCGCGACUUCUCAUGGCCUCACAAUGUAUGUCAUUCACUUUCUCUCCCAAUCGAUCAAUUUUUCUGUCUCUCGAUCAUUUUUUCCCAAAAGCUUCGAAUUCAUCAAUUUAUUUGAAGUUAGGGUUCAGUGAGAGCCAUGGAAAUGUAGACUAUGAAGCCAAAUGCAUUCUCAAUCAAUUGAUCUCAAACCCUAACUGAUCUCUACACACUCCUCUGUAUCGAACGAUUCGACCUCUCUGCAAUCUCCUCUCUGAUCGCGAACUUGAACCAGUUGAAGCAAUUCAUCGAUGAUUGCAAGUCCAAUCCCUCAAUUCUCUCCGAUCUUUCUCUCUCCUUCUUCCGAGACUACCUUGAAAGAUGGGAGACUUUUCUAUCGAGGUCAUGGAAGAAAACCGUGAUGCUUCGCAGGAGGCUAAGGUGCAGGGGAAACUGGAGGAAGCAAUAGAGCAGCUCACACAGGCUAUUUUGCUCAAUCCAACCUCAGCAAUUAUGUAUUCAGGUUCUCUCAUCGCGAUCGCUUUGGCCGAAGUCUUCUUUGAAGAACUUUAUCACGUGAUGCACAAGAAAGAGUAGCAUUACUUCUGAUAUCCAUUGUCAGCAUUAAGUGGAUGACCAUAAUUCUCUCUCACUCUCUGUUUUUCUUUGAUAUCAUUUGACGUUCUCAGUUCAUUUUUCCUUGUGUUGGCUUUGGUUAAUGCUACUACUGAAUUUUCAUCACUUGUAUUCAUUUCUGGCAUUGAGACAAGGAGACCAAUUCAACUAAUUAUAUUCCUCAUUUUUUUGUUAGAGAGGAUGUUUUAUUGCUUCACUGCGGAUAAGGAAUCAGAAUGUGAUGAAUUAUGUAUUAGUUGAAUCCCAUCUCUCCUUUCCAGUCCAUCGGGAAUCAUGGACCAGAUAGAUGAGUCCUAAACAUCUUUCAAGCUGACCAGUCAUUAUCUUCACCCGGAGGAGGUUUGUACAGUUAUGGAGAACUGUAGAUGAAAGCAAUGAUUAUUGUUUUGAUCUUUAAAUUUCAAUUGCUUAGAGCAUGAAUGUGAUACAAUUGCGCUGGGUCAACACUCUUGGGGGCAUAAACGAAAAGCUACUAUCAAAGAUAAAGGUGGAAACAAAAGAACUUAUACAAUGGAGGUUGAGGAAGAGGAGGAGACAGAUGAUGAUGAACUGGUUGGCUCCUUAUCAACCUUGGGGUCAAUGUCAGCAUAGAAUUGGGUCAUAGGAUAUCAGUCCCAAUCUUCUUGACAUCUUCAGUGAAUCACUGAUUGCUUUUUAUGGGAUCUGCUACUAUUCUUUGCCUUGAUCCUGACUCAAUCCAUCACCUUUUGAGGAUUGCUGGAUUGGGAGUGGGAGUCUUCCUUCUUCUAGCUCGUAGAAUCAGCGUGCCAAAGGUUGAUUCUUGGAAUGUAGUUUUGGUUGUAAAACAAAAGCCACCUUUUUUUUUUCUUUUUUUUUUUUUUUUUUUUUUUUUUUUUUUUUUUUUUAAGAAUCUGAUGCAUCUAUCUGCUUUUCUUUUCUUUUGUACUCUUUUUGUUUCCCAUUCAAAUUUUUUGGAUCAAUACAUGUUUUCUUUGAAGGAUGCAACUUUUUAUUUUACUCGGUCUUGUGAUCUGUAAGUUUUUGAAUCAUGUAAAAUACCAAUGAUAUAUUCUUUGAUUUGUUUC
This is a non-coding RNA of Camellia sinensis, 1733 nucleotides long. NCBI's taxonomy places the organism in Eukaryota, Viridiplantae, Streptophyta, Magnoliopsida, Ericales, Theaceae. The record is from RefSeq and is a predicted model, not a curated record.